GAUGAAGAACUCAGCGAAAUGCGAUAAGUAAUGUGAAUUGCAGAAUUCAGUGAAUCAUCGAAUCUUUGAACGCACAUUGCGCCCCCUGGUAUUCCGGGGGGCAUGCCUGUACGAGCGUCAUUGCUGCCCUCAAGCACGGCUUGUGUGUUGGGCCUCCGUCCUCCUCCCGGGGGACGGGCCCGAAAGGCAGCGGCGGCACCGCGUCCGGUCCUCGAGCGUAUGGGGCUUCGUCACCCGCUCUUGUAGGCCCGGCCGGCGCUUGCCGACACAUCAAUCUUUUUUCCAGGUUGACCUCGGAUCAGGUAGGGAUACCCGCUGAACUUAAGCAUAUCAAUAAGCGGAGGA
RNAcentral lists this unclassified non-coding RNA (345 nucleotides) under soil metagenome. Its description in RNAcentral is "partial contains 5.8S ribosomal RNA, internal transcribed spacer 2, and large subunit ribosomal RNA". The stretch from base 1 to 120 matches the Rfam family "5.8S ribosomal RNA", at positions 35 to 154 of the family's 154-position model. The record is from RNAcentral.